ACCAAUAACAUUAAUAGAACCUUCUUUGAAUAAUAAUAAUUUACUAAGAAAAUCUUGCAGUUCAGUUUGCCUUGGCUUCACGGCUUUUCCAGCAAGGUCUCAGUGAUCUGAAGCACAACAUUAAACAUAUUCAGACCUUUCAGAAUGAGUGGAAAAGCUAAAUCCUGACAAUUUUUGCCUCCUUGACAACAACAGUAAAUACACAUACACACAGUUGACCUUCAUUUAAUGUUGGCUCUGAGCCUCUUAACAAGGGCCUUUUAGGAGUCUUGCAUCCCAAUUCCCAUGUCGCUACUGUUAGAAACAGUUUGAGCUGUAUUUCCAUUGCCACUCUUUGAAACAGUUAUAAAAAGCAAAAAAAUAACCCUCAACAACCAUGACCUUCCCAAAUUAUAUAUUGUGCAAUUCAGAGUAGUCCUUGAGAUUUGGGCCAAAAGGCAGGGCUUUCUCGAAUCUUCUGUUUGUGUUCUGGUUUCCUAGCAACAGCAUCUCUGAUAGCAAUUGCACAUACUUUCUAGGGGAUUCCACACUUUUUCGUACAACAUGAAAAAAGAAACCACACAUUAUUUUGGUUUAUUUUCAGUUUCAAAUAUGGCUGCAGCUCAGAAUGACUAAACCCACAUAGAGCAAACAUGAUUUUCAAAGUAGAAUUUUAAUUUUUGUCCUCAGAGUUUUCUCCUUUUGAGUAUUUACUUAAAUAUCACCAUAUUUGCCUCAAACAUUACAUACCCAAGGACUCAUUUUAUGUGAAUUCCGCUGUGUACUCAGAAAAACUGAUGCUAGUCAUCAUUGUCUCACCAGACAAAGAGGGACUUUCUAGGUGUGGGAUGUAACUACACCUUAAGAAAGCUAGUAGAGUUUGAUAUCCUCCUUUACAUAGUGAUGACAUUAUUAUACCUCGUCCCUGAUCUUUUUUCUACUUCUAGUUAUAGACUACUACUCACAGGCUAAACAAUAUUUAACACCUAAAUUUAAUUUUAAAUUUAUCAUAAGAGAUUAAUUGUGAUAAAAAUAGACUACUUGGC
This 1025-nucleotide long non-coding RNA is filed under the name Marmota monax (woodchuck). The record is from RNAcentral. Lineage: Eukaryota; Metazoa; Chordata; Mammalia; Rodentia; Sciuridae.